GGCCUGAUGGUCUAGUAGUAUGAAUAUGAUUCCUUGUUAGGGUAGCCCUGGAUCGAGGAGGUCCCGGGUUCAAUUCCCGGUUAGGCCC
Non-coding RNA from Psilocybe cubensis, 88 nucleotides. The record is from the annotation of a RefSeq genome assembly. Lineage: Eukaryota; Fungi; Basidiomycota; Agaricomycetes; Agaricales; Agrocybaceae.